RNAcentral lists this ribosomal RNA (1050 nucleotides) under Enterococcus faecium. RNAcentral's name for it is "bacterial SSU rRNA". It matches the Rfam family "Bacterial small subunit ribosomal RNA", at positions 170 to 1212 of the family's 1533-position model. The record is from RNAcentral. Lineage: Bacteria; Bacillati; Bacillota; Bacilli; Lactobacillales; Enterococcaceae.
CGUAUAACAAUCGAAACCGCAUGGUUUUGAUUUGAAAGGCGCUUUCGGGUGUCGCUGAUGGAUGGACCCGCGGUGCAUUAGCUAGUUGGUGAGGUAACGGCUCACCAAGGCCACGAUGCAUAGCCAACCUGAGAGGGUGAUCGGCCACAUUGGGACUGAGACACGGCCCAAACUCCUACGGGAGGCAGCAGUAGGGAAUCUUCGGCAAUGGACGAAAGUCUGACCGAGCAACGCCGCGUGAGUGAAGAAGGUUUUCGGAUCGUAAAACUCUGUUGUUAGAGAAGAACAAGGAUGAGAGUAACUGUUCAUCCCUUGACGGUAUCUAACCAGAAAGCCACGGCUAACUACGUGCCAGCAGCCGCGGUAAUACGUAGGUGGCAAGCGUUGUCCGGAUUUAUUGGGCGUAAAGCGAGCGCAGGCGGUUUCUUAAGUCUGAUGUGAAAGCCCCCGGCUCAACCGGGGAGGGUCAUUGGAAACUGGGAGACUUGAGUGCAGAAGAGGAGAGUGGAAUUCCAUGUGUAGCGGUGAAAUGCGUAGAUAUAUGGAGGAACACCAGUGGCGAAGGCGGCUCUCUGGUCUGUAACUGACGCUAAGGCUCGAAAGCGUGGGGAGCAAACAGGAUUAGAUACCCUGGUAGUCCACGCCGUAAACGAUGAGUGCUAAGUGUUGGAGGGUUUCCGCCCUUCAGUGCUGCAGCUAACGCAUUAAGCACUCCGCCUGGGGAGUACGACCGCAAGGUUGAAACUCAAAGGAAUUGACGGGGGCCCGCACAAGCGGUGGAGCAUGUGGUUUAAUUCGAAGCAACGCGAAGAACCUUACCAGGUCUUGACAUCCUUUGACCACUCUAGAGAUAGAGCUUCCCCUUCGGGGGCAAAUGACAGGUGGUGCAUGGUUGUCGUCACCUCCUGUCCUGAAAUGUUGGGUUAAUUCCCGCAACGAGCGCCACCCUUAUUGUUAUUUGCCAUCAUUCAUUUGGCCCUCUAGCCAGACUGCCGGUGACAACCGGAGAAAGGUGGGGAUGACUUCAAUCAUCAGCCCCUUAUAACUGGG